UGGGGAAUAUUGCACAAUGGGCGCAAGCCUGAUGCAGCCAUGCCGCGUGUAUGAAGAAGGCCUUCGGGUUGUAAAGUACUUUCAGUCGGGAGGAAGGUGUCAAGGUUAAUAACCUUGGCAAUUGACGUUACCGACAGAAGAAGCACCGGCUAACUCCGUGCCAGCAGCCGCGGUAAUACGGAGGGUGCAAGCGUUAAUCGGAAUUACUGGGCGUAAAGCGCACGCAGGCGGUUGAUUGAGUCAGAUGUGAAAUCCCCGGGCUUAACCCGGGAAUUGCAUCUGAUACUGGUCAGCUAGAGUCUUGUAGAGGGGGGUAGAAUUCCAUGUGUAGCGGUGAAAUGCGUAGAGGUGUGGAGGAAUACCGGUGGCGAAGGCGGCCCCCUGGACAAAGACUGACGCUCAGGUGCGAAAGCGUGGGGAGCAAACAGG
Molecule: ribosomal RNA, 429 nt
Filed under: Chloroflexota bacterium
Lineage: Bacteria; Bacillati; Chloroflexota
Description: Chloroflexi bacterium partial 16S ribosomal RNA
Rfam family: Bacterial small subunit ribosomal RNA
Source: RNAcentral